GGACGAACGCUGGCGGCGUGCCUAAUACAUGCAAGUCGAACGAGCUCUCCCAAAUUGAUUUUAUGCUUGCAUAAAUGAUUUUUGGAUUCGGAGCGAGUGGCGAACUGGUGAGUAACACGUGGGUAACCUGCCCCGAAGCGGGGGAUAACAUUUGGAAACAAGUGCUAAUACCGCAUAAUUAGUUGGAACCGCAUGGUUCCAACUUGAAAGAUGGCUCUGCUAUCACUUUGGGAUGGACCCGCGCCGUAUUAGUUAGUUGGUGAGAUAAAAGCCCACCAAGACGAUGAUACGUAGCCGACCUGAGAGGGUAAUCGGCCACAUUGGGACUGAGACACGGCCCAGACUCCUACGGGAGGCAGCAGUAGGGAAUCUUCCACAAUGGACGAAAGUCUGAUGGAGCAACGCCGCGUGAGUGAUGAAGGUUUUCGGAUCGUAAAACUCUGUUGUUAAAGAAGAACAAGUGUUAGAGUAACUGUUAACACUUUGACGGUAUUUAACCAGAAAGCCACGGCUAACUACGUGCCAGCAGCCGCGGUAAUACGUAGGUGGCAAGCGUUGUCCGGAUUUAUUGGGCGUAAAGCGAGCGCAGGCGGUUUUGUAAGUCUGCUGUGAAAGCCCUCAGCUCAACUGAGGAAGUGCAGUGGAAACUACAAAACUUGAGUACAGAAGAGGAAAGUGGAACUCCAUGUGUAGCGGUGAAAUGCGUAGAUAUAUGGAAGAACACCAGUGGCGAAGGGCGGCUUUCUGGUCUGUUACUGACGCUGAGGCUCGAAAGCAUGGGUAGCGAACAGGAUUAGAUACCCUGGUAGUCCAUGCCGUAAACGAUGAAUACUAGGUGUUGGAGGGUUUCCGCCCAUCAGUGCCGCAGCUAACGCAUUAAGUAUUCCGCCUGGGGAGUACGACCGCAAGGUUGAAACUCAAAGGAAUUGACGGGGGCCCGCACAAGUGGUGGAGCAUGUGGUUUAAUUCGAUGCUACGCGAAGAACCUUACCAGCUCUUGACAUCUUCUGCCAACCCAAGAGAUUGGGCGUUCCCUUCGGGGACAGAAUGACAGGUGGUGCAUGGUUGUCGUCAGCUCGUGUCGUGAGAUGUUGGGUUAAGUCCCGCAACGAGCGCAACCCUUAUUAUUAGUUGCCAGCAUUUAGUUGGGCACUCUAGUGAGACUGCCGGUGAUAAACCGGAGGAAGGUGGGGACGACGUCAAAUCAUCAUGCCCCUUAUGAGCUGGGCUACACACGUGCUACAAUGGAUGGUACAACGAGUCGCGAAACCGCGAGGUCAAGCUAAUCUCUUAAAGCCAUUCUCAGUUCGGAUUGCAGGCUGCAACUCGCCUGCAUGAAGUUGGAAUCACUAGUAAUCGUGGAUCAGCAUGCCACGGUGAAUACGUUCCCGGGCCUUGUACACACCGC
This 1408-nucleotide ribosomal RNA is filed under the name uncultured Bacilli bacterium. RNAcentral's name for it is "bacterial SSU rRNA". It matches the Rfam family "Bacterial small subunit ribosomal RNA", at positions 27 to 1393 of the family's 1533-position model. The record is from RNAcentral. Lineage: Bacteria; Bacillati; Bacillota; Bacilli.